Molecule: ribosomal RNA, 459 nt
Filed under: uncultured bacterium
Lineage: Bacteria
Description: partial 16S ribosomal RNA
Rfam family: Bacterial small subunit ribosomal RNA
Source: RNAcentral
CCUACGGGAGGCAGCAGUGAGGAAUAUUGGUCAAUGGGCGCGAGCCUGAACCAGCCAAGUCGCGUGAGGGAAGACGGUCCUAUGGAUUGUAAACCUCUUUUGUCGGGGAGCAAAAGACGCCACGCGUGGCGUUCCGCGAGUACCCGAAGAAAAAGCAUCGGCUAACUCCGUGCCAGCAGCCGCGGUAAUACGGAGGAUGCGAGCGUUAUCCGGAUUUAUUGGGUUUAAGGGGUGCGCAGGCGGAAGAUCAAGUCAGCGGUAAAAUUGAGAGGCUCAACCUCUUCGAGCCGUUGAAACUGGUUGUCUUGAGGGAGUGAGAAGUAUGCGGAAUGCGUGGUGUAGCGGUGAAAUGCAUAGAUAUCACGCAGAACUCCGAUUGCGAAGGCAGCAUACCGGCGCUCAACUGACGCUCAUGCACGAAAGUGUGGGUAUCGAACAGGAUUAGAUACCCUUGUAGUC